This 408-nucleotide ribosomal RNA is filed under the name uncultured bacterium. Its description in RNAcentral is "partial 16S ribosomal RNA". It matches the Rfam family "Bacterial small subunit ribosomal RNA", at positions 28 to 526 of the family's 1533-position model. The record is from RNAcentral.
GACGAACGCUGGCGGCGUGCUUCACACAUGCAAGUCGAACGAAGUGGCGAACGGGUGAGUAAUACGUGGGGAACAUGCCCUCCUUUUUGGGAUAAGCCUUGGAAACGGGGUCUAAUAACGAAUAGGAGGGGAUGGGCUCGCGGCCUAUCAGCUUGUUGGUGGGGUGAUGGCCUACAAAGGCGGUGCCGGGUAGCCGGCCUGAGAGGGUGACCGGCCAAAUUGGGACUUAGACACGGCCCAGACUCCUACGGGAGGCAGCAGGGGGGAAUAGUGGGCAAGGGGCGCAAGCCUGACCCAGCAACUCCGCGUGAAGGAAGACGGUCUUCGGAUUGUAAACUUCUUUAGACAGGGACGCGGUACCUGUAGAAUAAGCCACGGCUAACUACGUGCCAGCAGCCGCGGUAAUAC